GACAGAGGGUGCAAACGUUGUUCGGAAUUACUGGGCGUAAAGCGCGUGUAGGCGGCAAGGCAAGUCGGAUGUGAAAGCCCGCGGCUCAACCGUGGAAGUGCACUCGAAACUGCCUAGCUAGAGUCUCGGAGAGGAAGGUGGAAUGCUUGGUGUAGAGGUGAAAUUCGUAGAUAUUGGGAAGAACACCGGUGGCGAAGGCGGCUAUCUGGCCCGUAAUUGACGCUGAGGCGCGAAAGCGUGGGGAGCAAACAGG
RNAcentral lists this ribosomal RNA (253 nucleotides) under uncultured bacterium. RNAcentral's name for it is "partial 16S ribosomal RNA". It matches the Rfam family "Bacterial small subunit ribosomal RNA", at positions 524 to 776 of the family's 1533-position model. The record is from RNAcentral.